UAAGGGAUCUUGCGACAAUGGGCGAAAGCCUGACGCAGCAACGCCGCGUGCGGGAUGACGGCCUUCGGGUUGUAAACCGCUUUUCGGGGGGAAGAGGAAGGACGGUACCCCCGGAAGAAGUCUCGGCUAACUACGUGCCAGCAGCCGCGGUAAAACGUAGGAGGCGAGCGUUAUCCGGAUUUACUGGGUGUAAAGCGCGUGCAGGCGGUUCUGCAAGUGGGACGUGAAAGCGCCCGGCUCAACCGGGCGAGGACGUACCGAACUGCGGGCUAGAGGCAGGGAGAGGCGUGUGGAAUUCCGGGUGUAGUGGUGAAAUGCGUAGAGAUCCGGAGGAACACCAGUGGCGAAGGCGACACGCUGGGCCUGGCCUGACGCUCAGACGCGAAAGCAUGGGGAGCGAACGG
Molecule: ribosomal RNA, 404 nt
Filed under: uncultured bacterium
Lineage: Bacteria
Description: bacterial SSU rRNA
Rfam family: Bacterial small subunit ribosomal RNA
Source: RNAcentral